RNAcentral lists this ribosomal RNA (497 nucleotides) under uncultured bacterium. RNAcentral describes it as "partial 16S ribosomal RNA". It matches the Rfam family "Bacterial small subunit ribosomal RNA", at positions 28 to 507 of the family's 1533-position model. The record is from RNAcentral.
GAUGAACGCUGGCGGCGUGCCUAAUACAUGCAAGUCGAGCGAACGGAAGAGAAGCUUGCUCCUCUGAUGUUAGCGGCGGACGGGUGAGUAACACGUGGAUAACCUACCUAUAAGACUGGGAUAACAUCGGGAAACCGGAGCUAAAACCGGAUAAUAUUUUGAACCGCAUGGUUCAAAAGGGAAAGACGGUCUUGCUGUCACUUAUAGAUGGAUCCGCGCUGCAUUAGCUAGUUGGUAAGGUAACGGCUUACCAAGGCAACGAUGCAUAGCCGACCUGAGAGGGUGAUCGGCCACACUGGAACUGAGACACGGUCCAGACUCCUACGGGAGGCAGCAGUAGGGAAUCUUCCGCAAUGGGCGAAAGCCUGACGGAGCAACGCCGCGUGAGUGAUGAAGGUCUUCGGAUCGUAAAACUCUGUUAUUAGGGAAGAACAUAUGUUUAAGUAACUGUGCACAUCUUGACGGUACCUAAUCAGAAAGCCACGGCUAACUACGUG